UAGGUAAUGUACCUUUGGGUGGGGAAUAACAAUCGGAAACGAUUGCUAAUACCGCAUAAUGCAGCGGCAUCGCAAGAUGACAGUUGUUAAAGAUUUAUCGCCUGAAGAGCAGCCUGCGGCAGAUUAGCUAGUUGGUAAGGUAAUGGCUUACCAAAGCUACGAUCUGUAACCGACCUGAGAGGGUGGUCGGUCACACUGACACUGAAUAACGGGUCAG
RNAcentral lists this ribosomal RNA (217 nucleotides) under uncultured bacterium. RNAcentral describes it as "partial 16S ribosomal RNA". It matches the Rfam family "Bacterial small subunit ribosomal RNA", at positions 118 to 334 of the family's 1533-position model. The record is from RNAcentral.